GUUGACGCCGCGUCGGGCGGCCGUGUAUUGACAAGUUUGUCCCGGUAGAUCGCUCGCGACUCCCCGCUCGGCUACGUCGACCGUGUCGUGUCGUUUCGUGCCGUGCCGUGCCGUAUCCUCCUCCAGAUUCCGUUGGACUGAUUCUGAUUCGCGGCCCGCGCCGAAUACGCAUGCGUCACAGCGGAAAUGAACAGAGGCGCAGAGAGACCGCGUUACGUCACGGCUGCCGCUCGGUAAUGGUGCAUUUACACUGCGCUCUCGUUGCACCGACGUACACGACCCGUCGGCCGUGCAACAGCGGCAGAAAUUGUCUUCAGUUGACGAGAGUUGUCACGAGGAGGCGAUUUUUUCUAAUUAAUGUUGGAUUAUCACAUGGACACGAGACUAUGGUCCGAAUCGUGCCCAAUGGUUUGUCCGCACUUGCACUUUUUGCACUUUGUGCCCUGCUGUGUACUUUGUUUUCCCUCUGCUGUUAGCCGAGCCAGAGGAAGAGACAGGAAAAUUCAAACCCAAGUUCUGCAAAAAUGAACAAACCUAUGUAACGAUUCUAGUACCAUCGAAUAAAAACUAUCGUCUAGGGAAUAAUCAAGGUCAGGGAUCAAUCUUCUCUAGUUAUGCAAUGAUAAACAAGUAGAACAAGCAAUAGAAGAUGAAGCCGCCUGCAUACAAUUGAAAGGCCUUAUAUAGCUUGGGCGAUGUAUACAUUCCAGCAGUCCAGCAGAGUAGUUCGUCAAUGGUAUUAGUCCAACAGAAUACUCAAAUCAAACAUAAUUCACAACUUCAGUUAUUUAUUGUUAAGUUAGAGAUAUGGAAUAUACGCAAAAUAUGAUUAAAAUUAAUAUU
Harpegnathos saltator (Jerdon's jumping ant) is the source of this 843-nucleotide long non-coding RNA. RefSeq lists it as uncharacterized. The record is from RefSeq and is a predicted model, not a curated record. Lineage: Eukaryota; Metazoa; Arthropoda; Insecta; Hymenoptera; Formicidae. The transcript is spliced from 4 exons.